Podarcis lilfordi (Lilford's wall lizard) is the source of this 84-nucleotide non-coding RNA. The record is from the annotation of a GenBank genome assembly. NCBI's taxonomy places the organism in Eukaryota, Metazoa, Chordata, Lepidosauria, Squamata, Lacertidae.
UUCUAAUAAUAACUGGGAUAGCUCAGUUGGCAGAGUGUGAGCCUCUUAAUUUCAGGGUUGUGGGUUCGAGUUUCACAUUGGGAA